RNAcentral lists this long non-coding RNA (9388 nucleotides) under Zea mays. RNAcentral describes it as "long non-coding RNA (ZMAY_LNC002176)". The record is from RNAcentral. Lineage: Eukaryota; Viridiplantae; Streptophyta; Magnoliopsida; Poales; Poaceae.
UCCAAAGCUUAUACACAAUCCUAACUAAUCCUCCUCCAGAACUGGAAACGCCUUCCAGCCACAGGAACAACUAGAGUACUCCUCAUCACCUACAACAACAUGGGUUCGAAAACCCUGAGUACGGAGUGUACUUUCGCAAGUCUUACCCGACUAAGAAAAAAUGACUCUCAAGGAUAUGCUGGUUAAAUAGGAAUCAAGGAAAAGGCUUUAGCAAGAAUCAACUUAGAUACUUUUUGCAGAAAUAGCUUACUAAAGUAAGUCCUUUUAAUAUUUAACGCCAGAUUAAAUAUUAAUAGAGUCUGGUUGCAUCUAGUCUAAUUUCACCAUCUCAUCAAUACAACAUCAUUUUUAUUCAUAAGUUUACAUUCUGACUUAGGUUGUAGGUCGGAUAUCAAGUCUCCACUCUCCGGGGAUAUAACGGCGAUCCGAAUCGAUUUACUCAUCUGAGGAUCUCUAACCACACGACAUAUAUUUCUCGUAACUCUUGCAUAUGUCUACCAUUCUCGCGGAUCCUCCACUGCAUGAACAGGUCCGCGCCACCCGAGAGCACACCACCCCUUUUAGGCGGUCCUUUGCCAGGAGGGUACGUGCCACUCUCGCCAUCUCUCCACUCCCAGUGCGUGAUUGUCUUUUCAUGUAUGGAAUAGCCGGGUUCAAGCUUACCCUGUCCCAUAUCCAGGGCAUGUGGCUAGUUAAGAUAGUCCUUGAUCAUACAGGCCUACAUACGCAUCCAAUCCUUAAUUAACCUGGGUGGAGCAUCACCUGUUCCUAACCCAAGUCUCGAGUUAAGUACUUCCACCCUUAGGAUUGUUUUGUGUUCCUUAGGAUGAAAAGAGCAUUAUAGGGAACUUUGCAGUAAGAUCUCACCAUGCUCCCAAUGAAUAUAUUCUUGUAGGUAGAAGCCAUCCUUCCUCAGGAUAACCCUGAGCUAGGCAUUAUUGCAAAAGACAACCUCUAUCCACAAGAUCUAAGCAGGGCUAAGCAUUUUUGUAAAUCAUAUUUUGAUACUUCAUCAUAAGUAUCUAUAAAGGUAUGGAUAUCUAGGUAGGCAAUGCAUCCAAUAGUUUUCAAGCAACUCCUAUAAAUUUAAUGCACAUUUCACUAGACUUAAAGUGUAUAAAAAUCUUUUUAAAAAUACAAGGAAGGGGUAAAUGCACCGGGGCUUGCCUUAUUGCAGUGAAGAGGUACUCGAUCCCUCUAUUAAACCCCAGUUAGAUGGAUCCUCCACUUGAUCAGCAGCCACUGGAGUAGAUUCCUCUUCAGUCACCACUUCAGGUUGAAUCUUCACUCCUUCUGGUAGGAGUUCUAUAUGAAAUGACAUGAUCAUGGAUGUUUAUGCUUAUGCAACUUGAAAAGAAAAUACUAAGAAGCAUCGCAAGACUGCACCUCUCUAAAGGUGCACACAAAAACUAACAAAACCUUAAGAGAGCUAAAUACUCUAAUAUCACAACUCAAUUCACCAACUAAACUAGGAAACCUUGCCUCCAUAACCAACCAAGCACUUCAUUAUGCCCUAAGCAAGGAUCCAAACUGCAUGUACUACAAGUUAUAGUGUCCAAGAAUCAGCCACAAUUCACUGAACCUGCUUUCAGUUCUCUGAAUUCAUCUUCCAUUGCUCCAUUCCUCUCCCUCUGUUCAAUGCCUUUUAUCUCAUAAACUCACAUGACAAGAGACCCCACUUACUUAACCAAAUCUAUUCCCUAAGUAUUGCUCUUCCACUUUGGUAUAACACUCCAAGACUGAAAAUACACAUUGCAAAUUCAGUUUUCAGGCAGCUGAAUGAAAUUCAGUCUCUGCAACUGAAAGUCCAUCUUUGGGCAGUCUUUACACCACUUUGUGUGUGGGGUCAACCCCAACUCACUUAAAGGAUGUUGUUCUCUAACCCAUGUUCUUCAAACUUGCUGCAGAAACUUUGGUUCAAAGCCACCUGGAACAGGCACUACACAGCUCCAAAACUGCACUAAAAUUACUGAUUUCAGACUUUCAGUUCUGAAUAGACUAAGUCACCAACCACCUGACAGUCAAACUUUUGGCCACUUUUACUCCCAAAUUUAUGUAGAACCAGGUCCAUCUCACUUUAUCAAACUUGUUCACUUUACUAUGGUCUACAACUUUGCUAUGGAACCCUUAAUCCAAACCCCAUGAAUCAGCCACAAAUGAAUUCCAAACUAGGCAUACUGCUGCAAUUCAGUUCACAGAACUGAAUAAAAAAAUUUAGUUGUGUCCAGCCUGACAGUCCAACUUUAGCCAACCUUUUCUCCAACUUUUACACAGCAACAUACCAAGCUCACAUUACCAAAGUUAUUCCUUAGAUAUAGCUCUACUACUUUGGUAUAGCACACCUAGGUCGAAAACAUUCAGAACAAUUUUUUUGAAGCACCAAAAUAGAGCCAAAACCACUGCAACCCCAUUUUGUGUUCUGAAUCAGCAUUUAUUAUGUCUGACAGAGAAUAUUUGGACAUGUUUUACUUCCAAUUUGUAGCACCAAGCCCAUCUCCCAUUAGUAAUUUUGUUCAUCUUACUAUGGUCUUCAAACUUGCUACAGAACUUUGGCCCAAAACCAAAUAGACUGGGCACAAUAGAGCUCUAAAGUUGAGCUCAACACACUAAAACCUGGUUUCAGCUUUCUGCACUAAGUCUGGGAACCAAAAACCUGACAUCCUAUUUUUGAGUGAAUUUUACACCUAGUUCCCAGCAACAUACAGUGGUAGAGUUCAAAUAGUAAAUGGUGUGAGCUUCACUGAUCGAUUUAGAGCAUGGAACAUAUACCACACAGCUGAGAAAGCUAUUGAGAUUACCUGGCCACUGUGAUGUGGACAAUGGUUACCACGGAGAGGGCUGGCGUGCUCGGCUCUAGUUCAGAUCAAGGCUAGAGACUGGGGAGAGGAAGUUACACCAUCUUGACGGCAUAAGGACCACCUUACAUAUGCAGGGAAUCCAGAGCUCAAUGACAGUAAGGAAGCUUCCCAUAUCCAUGCCCUAUAAGUACCUGAAUAUGGGUAAGGUGUCCCUACACUUGUUCAGCAUGCAGUGGAGAGUGUUUUCUAGAGUGCCAGCAAUACAUGAACUUAUCUAUGUGGCUCACAUGCUCACAUCCCACUCAGAUUCACAGGUUCAGCAGAUACACAGCACCUGGUUGAUAUUUUUCUACAGCCAAAAUAUCCGUCCCUUCGUUCAGUAAACAGAUAGGAAAGGGAGUAGAUAAGUCUCCCAUUUGGGUAUGCACUAUGGUCCAAAACUUGAUAUUUGCUACUGGGGUGAAGGCGUGAAGCCACUGGAUUUUUGCUGUCCAGUUAAUUCCACCACAGAUCCUAUAGAUAAGGCCUCACUGCCUACCAAAACAGUCCAAAUCUGCUAUUUUCCCAGUAGCAAAUAAGGCCUCUAGACCCUUAGUGAUGUAUCUCAACCUUGACUCCAUCCAAUACUCGAGUAACCUAACAGAGAGGAAGUGAUCUUCAGAAUCCGAAUGCCACAUUGAACACAACUGUAUCAGCCUGCUGCUUCAUUCCAUUCCUCCCAGUUCAGGCCCUCUGAUCUCCCAAUUCUUCAUAGCAACAGACCACUCUUCCUUAACCAAAAUUAUUCUCUACUUGUAUCUCUACCUAAUUUGUAUAGAAACCCUUGACUGAAAACAUAUAGAACAAAAGAUAUGGUACCUCAAAGUACAGCCAAAGUCACUGAAAAUUCAGUUUCAGAAAUCUGAAACAGCACCACAGCGUUUGACAGAGGGUUUUGCCACUCCUUUUUCUCUAAAUCCUACACCAUAUCAAGCCAACUCUCUACAUGAAACUUGCUAUCCUUCAGAUGAUUUUUAACUUUGCUACAUAGAGUAGGGCUCAUACUCCAUGGAUUAAUUACUACAGAGCUCCAAACAGAUAACCCAACACUGAAAUUCAGUCUUCAGUACACUGAAUAUAACUCAGUUUCAGUCACCUGACAAUCCAACUUUGAGCCAGUUUUACUCCACUUUUUCUGUAGGAUCAUGCUAUACCCACUUACUGAAAACUAUUCACCAUCAUAGUGUAUUUAUUUCAUCUACAAAUACUAUAGCCUAAAACUUUAUAGGCUAGCCACAAACCAGCUUUCAAACAGCCAUCAAAACACUGAAACUCAGUUUCAGUUACUGUUUCCAAUCUGAAAAUUCAGAAAUACAGCAGCACCACUUAGAACCACUCUUUUGCCUGGGUUCCAAAUGUUUCUAGGGGCAAGUUGCUUAAUAAAGUUUUUACUGCUAUAGCUCCUCUACAAGUUUGAUAUAGUGACCAUUAACCAAAACCUCCUGGAUUCCAAACCACACUAGCUCAAAGUUCGCUCCAAUUGCUGAAAUUCAGACUCUGAAUUCUUCCAAGUCUGAAAUCCAGAAACUCUGUUAGCUCUUCUUUGGAUUAGUUUUUCUCCAAUUUCCAUAGAGUGUUAGGGCUAGAUGACUUAACCAAACUUAUACUCCUCAUGUAGCUCUAUGACUUUGUUAUAAUGAUCAUCUUCAAAAUGGUUCUAGAUCAUACGUUACAAGGGUCCAAAGUUGUCUAGUUUACAUUAUUUUCAGCAAUUCCAAAAUGAACCCAAAACUGAAUUUUUGUACUUAACUCCAAAUUCUUCCACACAACUUAUGAAUAUCCAAAUUAGAAACAUAUCCACUUUUCCAAGCUCUACAACUUUGGUAUAUGAACUUUUAACCAAUCCUUUCUAGAUUUUAAAUUCCACCUUUGGGCAAGUUUAGGGCUUAUAGAUACUCAACCACCCUAAGUGCUUCACCACUUCUAAUCCACAUAUCAAAAGCAAACUUCUCCAUUCUCCUAAAUAAAAGUUACUCCUUAGUCUCAAAUCCAACUUUGGUAUAUAUAACUCAGAUCCAAAGUAUCCUUGGUUUAGGAGUUGUUUGCUUACACAUAAUUGCAAACAAACUUUCAACCCUCACAUUAAGGUUUCUAAGUUGACCCUUCAGCUCAGGUGUUCCUUCCACUUGAUCUCCCUUUGAAAAUAAAGUUGCUCUAGGUCCUAAGUCUUACCUUUAAUACUUUAAAUUCCAAGCCAACUUAUUACUUGCUCAAGAGACGACUUUUCUUCCCAUGUCUUAAGCAAAGUUCUUAAUCUGAGCCCUGUACUCUAAUACACAACACCACAUUCAUUGAAUUUUUUUGACCUAGUGAAUGCAUUCUAGGUAUAUCAAACAAGAUAAUGUAAAUGCUUAUGAUGACAUGUCAGAGUUUUAGUUAACGUAACACCAGGGGUGUUACAGAAAUGUCCCCUUUCCUCUGAAACCAUAGAGUGGGUUGUCGGUUGGCAGAAGUAGGCUGUGGUUGAUGCCCAUCUGGUCGAAAGCAUGCAGGAGGAUGAUGUCGGCUUGGCUCUCGUUGUCAACGAGGACCUUGUGUAGCUCCCAACCUACCACAUUGCAACUGAUGACGAGUGCGUUCGUAUGGAGCACGCUACGAAGGUCGACAUCUCUUGCGUCAAAGGUUAAUGGUACAUGAGACCACUUCGUCUAGAUGACAUGUCUUGUGACGGUGACAUGGUUGACCCUUCGAUGGUGAUCCCUUUUUUGUCGUUUAUUCUCGAAAUCCAAGCUAGACCCUCCGGUGAUCAUAUGAAUCACUCCUCUGAAGGGUGGAUCAAUGAAGUCUUCUAGCUUUGGUGGUGGGGGUGGUAGGUGUUGAUUUGGAUGCUAUGGUGGUGGUGGUGGCAGGGCUAACCUUUCUUUGUGUUGAAGGCAUUGUUGAUGUGGAAAGUGAUCGGGUUUUUGCUAUUGGGGUAGUAUGGGUGCUCGUUUUGGUAUUGAUGCUGGUGGUACUGUUGCGGUUGAUAGGUAUGAGCGAUAACUCGUUGGUGGUCUGCCGGGACGACCCUAGCCAUUCGGUCCUUUGUCGCCCUGGUCUUGGGGCAAUCCUUGGUUGGGUGCACUGAGUCUUCGCCAUGGAAGACACAUUAAAAUCUUCUCGAUUGCUGAGGGCCUCGACCUUUACCUCUGCCCCUGGUUGUGUUAACACCACGACCUUGUUGCGGGGGGUGGGGAGGGGUAGCUUUGACGACGAGGGGGGUUCUCUCCUAGUUACUGUUGGUUUGCAAUGUUAUGCACCUGGCGUUGACCACACUCUUGUUGGAAUGGAUCCUGCUGCGUAGGCCUAAUCCAUGUCCUGCUGGAUUGCAGAGUCCCUUUUGGUUUUUGCUGACACUCGACUUUUCUUUGGUGGAGUUCUUCUGAUCGGGCAUACUUUUUGAAGAGCUGGUACAACUCAUGCAGGUUGGUUGGUGGGUCCCCUAUGCAGUGGUUGUAUAAGACGCCUGCUCGAAGGCCGCUGAAAGCAUCUAGGCCCCUGGUUGGUUUUAGUGAUUAAUGACAACGUAAUAUUACAUGUGACUAACGUGUAUUUUGCAGAGGCAAAUGGUAAGUUAGGUCACAUUACAGGUAGAUGUACUACAACAGUGGAAACAAUCCCCGAGAUAAGAACUUGAAGCGACAGCUAAAGCGACGAAACAUAAAGUGAAGGUCUUCUUAUUCCGAGUGGCAAGGAGUUGCGGACACUCGUGAUAUAGUUAGGUCUUUUAUUUUGUUUUAGUCGUACUAUAAAGAGGGGUUGUCGAUGAGUAGUUUGACCAAGAGAGUUCUAGUGUAGUGUUGGUACAUAUUCACACUCACAUAUAGUGCCAGAUGUCACUCUAGAACAUACUCACGAGUUAGAACGAAAACCGAUUUGAAAGAUAGCAGAAAAUAGAAAUUAGGGUUUCUGUCUGUGGGGCACCGGACUAUCUGGUGCGCCCUCUGUCAGGUGGGGCCAGGUUGGCCCGGGGAAGGUCUUUCCCCCUCGCAGAAACCCGAGAGAGCAGGGUUUGGAAGUUGAAUUUUAGUGGCACACCGGACAGCGCACCGGACUGUCCGGUGCGCACCGGACAGUGAUUGUUCACUGUCCGUUGUGCCAUCCGCCCAACGGCUAGCUGUCAGAACUAGCCGUUGGAGUCGACCGGUGGCGCACUGGUGGCGCACCGUUGGUGCACCGGUGGCGCACCGGACUGUCCGGUGCGCCCAUGCGCAGCAGAUUCCACGUAACGGCUUGUUGGUGGGUGAGGGCUAUUUAUACCCCCUCCACCCACCAUAUUCAUUGUCUUGCUGCCCACAUUUACUCCUACACAUUGGUAGAGAAUUGCAAGCACCACAAAGCCUAGUGAGGUGAUUAGAGAAUCUUAAUCCCGCAUUUGGACCUCAUUAGCCCUAGCGAGAGCCACCUAGAGCACACACCGCAUGCAUUAGGCUUCUCUUGGUCAAGCGAAAGUCUACGGCUUGUUACUCUUGGUGAUCGGCAUCACCUAGAUGGUUUGGUGGCGUUGGGAGCUCGGUGAUCACCGUGGAGAUCUUGUUGGUGACCCGACUCAAGUUUGUAAGCGGUCAUGAGGGAUCCACCGCACCGGAGUGGCAAAAGAUCAUCUCGUAGUGAGCACUUGGUUCUUGCGAGGACCAAGGGGAGCGAUAUCCUUGCGCGGGUGCUCCAACGAGGACUAGGAGAGAGUGCCCACUCUUCGAUACCUCGAGAAAAAUUGGAGGAGUCUUCUAAACCUUGCUUUACAUUCUGCACUUAAAUCAAGCAUUUUAUAUUGUAUAUUUGUUUAGCAAGUAUUUGAAGUAUUGUCUUAGCAUUAUUGUAUUUAUAGUAUUACUAGAAAGUAUGGUGCACCGUUGGCGCACCAUUAGUUAGCUAUGGGCUUGGGUAUUUAAUUUUCUGUUAUGUAUGUAGGCAUUAUAUUGUCGGCGGGUUGGAUGAAACAAAUAUUUAUAGUGAUCAAGUGGAUGGUACUAAAUCUUUCCCUAAAUUUUUUGGUGAUUGGAGACAGUAAGCAAAAAUAUAUUUUUAUGGAACUACAUUGAGAAACAAAAAUACUCAGACCAUUUUCCCAUGUAUAUAUAUACCUAAUAUUAAAGGAAAAGUGGAUUCUUCUAUCCAUCAUAUUUUACUUCAUGCAAGUGCAUUUGCUACUCUGAAUAAAAGGUAAUAUGCAACCUAUGUUUGAAAUGGUUGGCCUAAAACAAUUGCAAAAGGUCACUUAUAUGUGACUGACUGACUGUAGAGAGAGUAGGUCGCUAGGACUGCUAUUGUGUACCUUCCAAAGAUGUUUUGAUGGUACAAUUAUAUUUUUUCCAUGUAAGUUAUUCAUACGACAUGUUUUUAUUUAUGCAUGGAAAGAGUUCAGGUAACCUUUUUCCUACACCUUGCAGUCAGUACAAUAUUAGGACUUGAAGAAGGAAAAUAUUGCAUAAUUGUUGGAACUUUAUAUUUUUCUUAAGCUCGCGAAGGGAAUAUGGAGAUGCCUCUCGAGAAGCAAAUGGCAAGGCUAUGGAACCAAGAUGUCUUUUAUUAUUGAUAAAAAAUAUGAGUGAGCAAUGAAUAUCAUAUGAAUAUAAUUAAUUAUUUCAAAUGGUUAGUGUAUUCUCUUUUGUUGAUAAUCUACAUGCAAAUGUUUUAUUAAUGUUUUAAUCUACUCAUUAGCAAAGGAUGUUCAGAGAUGUAUGUUGAAUAAUUGUGACUCUUCCUCUUUCUUCUUUUUAUCUUUUUUACUCUCUCUUUUCUUUCCGCGAGUCUCCUUUGGUCUUUGGUAUUUUGCCUAGCAGACUGUUUGCUUGGCAGACUCCACUCAUUUUCUUCUUUUUAUAUAGCAGAGGACUGAGGACAUUCAUCAUGUGACACGUUUCCAUUACUAACGUCAUCAAGGUUAUCAUUGCAAAAAUGAAGUACAGUCAGUGUUGUAGCUGUAGGAGCAAAAAGUAGUGAACAAAUUAGCACAAGACAAGCAAACUGAUUUUUCUGCACAAUAGUAGUUCACUUUUAGACAGAAAAGAAGGCGCAUGUGAAUCAAGCAUUGCAUGCAGUUAGGAAUGAAGAUUUGGCAUGCUCCUACCAAAACUAAAACCAUGUGUCGCCAUUAAGGCUUUGUUGACCAUGAUGAUACCAACAGAUGUGACGACAUUGAACAUCCAUGCGCCAGCACCUAGUACUGCUUUCCGCUCUGCCUUGCUUCUUGGCGCCAUACUUUCUUGACAUGUAGAGUCUAAUACUCAAAUUUUCUAUAGGGGGAGAACCCAGUAAAGGACACAGAUGUUCCAAUAUUUUUCCAAAAAAUCGAAGUUAGUAUGUAUGUACAUGCUUGGUAAUUAGAUUAGAUCCGGAUGCAAAUAGCCAGAUAGCUCAAGUUAGGGUUCCGAUGGUGCUAGGUACCACACAGCAGAAAAGGAAGAGAAAGGGUAUACCCGACGAGGAACUGGACACUUGGCGUAGUCUGGCGGCGGCGCUCACUUGCUGCACGAGAUUCGCGGGCACUAGGGCCUGGACGGAGAAGGGAGAGAAGGCAGGGGUGAAGUUCGCGGCUCGGUCGGUUUGGUAGUUCUGUGUUAGACUGGUAU